This 74-nucleotide transfer RNA is filed under the name Dipodomys ordii (Ord's kangaroo rat). It matches the Rfam family "tRNA". Rfam says of the family: Transfer RNA (tRNA) molecules are approximately 80 nucleotides in length. The record is from Rfam by way of RNAcentral. Lineage: Eukaryota; Metazoa; Chordata; Mammalia; Rodentia; Heteromyidae.
GGGAAUGUGGCUUAGUGGUAGAGUGCUUGCCUGGCAAGCAUGAAGAAAGCCCUGGGUUUAAAUCCUCAGUACCA